UAGUCCAAAAGGAAUCAUCCCUCUUCCUUACAGAGCUUGACGUGUGUGCGAAGUAGAGGGCCUAUGCUUUUAGGCCUCACGAGAUAUCGAAUUCAAGCAAUCUCUGGGGAUUUGAUCCCUAUUCCACUGUGAUCAAGGUAAUCCAUAAUUGCUAUGUAUGCAUUUGAAUAGAAAAAAUUUUAAAACACAUCCUGACAAUCC
This 201-nucleotide long non-coding RNA is filed under the name Elaeis guineensis (African oil palm). Its description in RNAcentral is "long non-coding RNA (EGUI_LNC051379)". Lineage: Eukaryota; Viridiplantae; Streptophyta; Magnoliopsida; Arecales; Arecaceae. The record is from RNAcentral.